GUCCGCAACGAGCGCAACCCUCGCCUCUAGUUGCCAGCAUUCGGUUGGGCACUCUAGAGGGACUGCCGGCGACAAGUCGGAGGAAGGUGGGGAUGACGUCAAAUCAUCAUACCCCUUAUGACCUGGGCUACACACGUGCUACAAUGGGCGGUACAAAGGGCUGCGAACCCGCGAGGGGGAGCGAAUCCCAAAAAGCCGCUCUCAGUUCGGAUUGCAGGCUGCAACUCGCCUGCAUGAAGCCGGAAUCGCUAGUAAUCGCGGAUCAGCAUGCCGCGGUGAAUACGUUCCCGGGCCUU
Molecule: ribosomal RNA, 296 nt
Filed under: uncultured Geobacillus sp.
Lineage: Bacteria; Bacillati; Bacillota; Bacilli; Caryophanales; Anoxybacillaceae
Description: partial 16S ribosomal RNA
Rfam family: Bacterial small subunit ribosomal RNA
Source: RNAcentral